Non-coding RNA from Podarcis lilfordi (Lilford's wall lizard), 74 nucleotides. NCBI's taxonomy places the organism in Eukaryota, Metazoa, Chordata, Lepidosauria, Squamata, Lacertidae. The record is from the annotation of a GenBank genome assembly.
GAUCAACAAGUCUCGGUUGGUAGAGCAUGAGACUCUUAAUCUCAGGGUUGUGGGUUUGAGCCCCACCUUGGGCA